AUUGAACGCUGGCGGCAGGCCUAACACAUGCAAGUCGAGCGAGCGGCGGGCGGGUGAGGAAUGCGGGGGAAUUGAAAAGGCGAGGGGGAGAAAAGUUGGAGAAGACAGCUAAUAACGCAGACGAAUGGAUCGCACGGGUGGGGUUAGCUAGUUGGUGAGUGAAUGGCUCACCAAGGGGACGAUCCCUAGCUGGUCUGAGAGGAGGAUCAGCCACACUGGAACGGAGACACGGUCCAGACUCCUACGGGAGGCAGCAGUGGGGAAUAUUGCACAAUGGGGGCAACCCUGAUGCAGCCAUGCCGCGUGUGUGAAGAAGGCCUUCGGGUUGUAAAGCACUUUCAGCGGGGAGGCGUUACUCGCAGAAGAAGCACCGGCUAACUCCGUGCCAGCAGCCGCGGUAAUAC
Molecule: ribosomal RNA, 404 nt
Filed under: uncultured bacterium
Lineage: Bacteria
Description: partial 16S ribosomal RNA
Rfam family: Bacterial small subunit ribosomal RNA
Source: RNAcentral